GCUUCCGUAGCUCAGUUGGUAGAGCAGCGCAUUCGUAAUGCGCAGGUCGUCGGUUCGAGUCCGACCGGGAGCUCCA
Molecule: transfer RNA, 76 nt
Filed under: Oscillospiraceae bacterium
Lineage: Bacteria; Bacillati; Bacillota; Clostridia; Eubacteriales; Oscillospiraceae
Description: tRNA-Thr
Rfam family: tRNA
About the family: Transfer RNA (tRNA) molecules are approximately 80 nucleotides in length. Their secondary structure includes four short double-helical elements and three loops (D, anti-codon, and T loops).
Source: RNAcentral